Molecule: ribosomal RNA, 295 nt
Filed under: uncultured bacterium
Lineage: Bacteria
Description: partial 16S ribosomal RNA
Rfam family: Bacterial small subunit ribosomal RNA
Source: RNAcentral
GACGAACGCUGGCGGCGUGCUUAACACAUGCAAGUCGAGCGGUAAGGCCCUUUCGGGGGUACACGAGCGGCGAACGGGUGAGUAACACGUGGGUGACCUGCCCUUAGCUCUGGGAUAAGCCUGGGAAACUGGGUCUAAUACCGGAUAUGACUCCAUGACGCAUGUUGUGGGGUGGAAAGCCUUGUGCGGCUAGGGGAUGGGCCCGCGGCCUAUCAGCUUGUUGGUGGGGUGANGGCCUACCAAGGCGACGACGGGUAGCCGGCCUGAGAGGGCGAUCGGCCACACGUGGGACUGA